Molecule: microRNA precursor, 92 nt
Filed under: Ochotona princeps (American pika)
Lineage: Eukaryota; Metazoa; Chordata; Mammalia; Lagomorpha; Ochotonidae
Source: RNAcentral
UCAUUGUCUACGGCCAUACCACCCUGAACACGCCCGAUCUCGUCUGAUCUCGGAAGCUAAGCAGGGUCGGGCCUGGUUAGUACUUGGAUGGG